This 301-nucleotide ribosomal RNA is filed under the name uncultured bacterium. RNAcentral describes it as "partial 16S ribosomal RNA". It matches the Rfam family "Bacterial small subunit ribosomal RNA", at positions 509 to 807 of the family's 1533-position model. The record is from RNAcentral.
CAGUAGCCGCGGUAAAACGUAGGGUGCAAGCGUUAAUCGGAAUUACUGGGCGUAAAGCGUGCGCAGGCGGUUAUAUAAGACAGAUGUGAAAUCCCCGGGCUCAACCUGGAAACUGCAUUUGUGACUGUAUAGCUAGAGUACGGCAGAGGGGGAUGGAAUUCCGCGUGUAGCAGUGAAAUGCGUAGAUAUGCGGAGGAACACCGAUGGCGAAGGCAAUCCCCUGGGCCUGUACUGACGCUCAUGCACGAAAGCGUGGGGAGCAAACAGGAUUAGAUACCCGUGUAGUCCCUGUCUCUUAUAC